AUGGUAUUUAGUUUAAAGAAAAAUAAAUGAUUUCGACUCAUUAGAUUAUGGUUAAACUCAUAAUUACCAA
Molecule: transfer RNA, 70 nt
Filed under: Dorcatragus megalotis (beira)
Lineage: Eukaryota; Metazoa; Chordata; Mammalia; Artiodactyla; Bovidae
Description: tRNA-Arg
Rfam family: tRNA
About the family: Transfer RNA (tRNA) molecules are approximately 80 nucleotides in length. Their secondary structure includes four short double-helical elements and three loops (D, anti-codon, and T loops).
Source: RNAcentral